UAACAUUACAGUUAAUGUUAGCCAUAGAUGUUCUUGUUUUGUUUCAGAACUAGUUACGACCUUUUACGUAGAUAGGUUUUCCAUCCAACUCAUUUGCAUCUUUUAAGCGCAUUCAUGAAAAUACGGCUAAACAAAAUGCAAAUCAUGGCCACAUGCCUUUUCUAAUCUACAAAACAAUAGACUACCACACAAGUUUAAUUGUCAUAUCGUUAGAUAUUUGAACAAGCUCAGAAGAGAUUAGCUUUUAUAAGGCACAGUAAUUAAAGAUGCUACAUUUUUCACUUAACAGGUCAGUCAUUCCCAGGCUCUGAACACAAAAGCAACAUUUCCAUGGAUAGUGGUGCAGGAGGAAGGGACAGUGGUGAUGGCACAUUGUACAUGCAUGUCAGGGUUGGGAGAGGUUUGUUCCCAUGCUGCGGCACAGAUGUACACAGUUUUGGUUGACAAGAGAGAAGGACAGGCAUGCACUGAGAAGCCAUGCACAUGGACAAAGCCGAGCACGAAAAAAGUGAAGUACGAUGAGUUGUCUAACAUCUUCGCUAACGAGGAGAAAGUUGCAAUUCAGGACAAUUUGUCACACAUCAGACCAUCUGCUGAUGAGUUCAAGUUAUUCUGUGCACAGCUCCAGCAAAGUGAAGGUCAAGAGGCAAAUCCCAAGAAAAGUGCAAUCCUCUCUGUCAUCGAAGGCCACUCCCUCAGAUACAUGCCCAAGACUGUACUAUUGGAUCUGCCAUCACCUCUGACCACUCUCUAUACAAGCACCAGACUUGAAAUGGAUUUGCCCGCACUGCUGGAGGAGGGUGCGAAGACCUUUGAUGAGCUGCAUCUCACACCGGAGCAGAUGGGGUCUCGUAAAUGAGGACACUGCCAGAGUCGUACCUGAUGGCGAUGCAGACCUCAACGUUGCAGUAUCAGGGCUUAUCAUUAACCCGGAGCUGCCAUGGAUCGGUGCAUCACCUGAUGGUGUGGUGACCCCUGCUUGCCAUGUGCCUGGAGUGUUAGAGAUCAAGUGUCCUUUCAUCACAAAAGACCGCACUCUAAAUGAAUUUGUCAAAGACUCACAGUUCUGCUUGACUGUCACUGAGGAAGGUGUAAUGAGCCUAAAGCUAGAUCACAGUUACAUGUAUCAAGUGCAGGCCCAAAUGCGUGUAGCAGAGUUAGCAUACUGUGAUUUUGUGGUGUGGACACCUCAAGAAAUUUUUAUACAGCGCAUCCCAUUUGAUGAUGUUUUUUUUUGAUGAGGCAUAUUUGAAGGUGGUGAACUUCAUUAGAACAGGGACACUACCAGAGCUGUUGGGUAAAUGCUUUACUGUACCACGCCUCUCCGCCACUGCAACCUCCGAGAAGACACCUGUGGGAUGUUACUGUGGUAAGCCUGUUGAUAAUGCAGACAACAUCCUCUCUUGCACAUCUGAGCAAUGCAGACGAAAACACUUCCACAAGUCUUGUCUGAAGCUGAGCAGAGUACCAAAGACUUGGACAUGUUUAGAGUGCAAGAAGCUCCUGUAGGUCAUCAACUUUUGUUUGCAAGAUGCUUUGUGAACCAUUUUUCUGAGAGAUUUCAAAUGUCUCAUAUACAUAAAUGUUAAAAAUAAUCUCCAAGUAGUACAAAUGUAGCUUGAUCUUUGCUCAGUAGUACAUUAUU
Long non-coding RNA from Sinocyclocheilus grahami, 1645 nucleotides. Lineage: Eukaryota; Metazoa; Chordata; Actinopteri; Cypriniformes; Cyprinidae. The record is from Ensembl.